CAUAGAACACGCACUUGGCAGCCUCGUUGGCGUUGAUACGGUCGGCUGACUGCUGCAUAUCACCUUAAUUACAGGCAGCAGUCUGGGCGCAGUCAGACGGCAAAUGGCAGACAAGCUAACAGCGUUUAUGGUGGGCCAAAUUGCCAUUCCCCCCCCAGCCAUCAGCCCCCCCCACUCGUACAAGGCAUAUUGUCGUUGCCGUUACGCUUUAGCGAUUCGUUACUGUACUCGACAGAAAGAGCAACGGAUUCAGUUUGCACUCGACUGCUGAUAAGCGUGCGA
RNAcentral lists this long non-coding RNA (282 nucleotides) under Drosophila guanche. The record is from RNAcentral. Lineage: Eukaryota; Metazoa; Arthropoda; Insecta; Diptera; Drosophilidae.